This 253-nucleotide ribosomal RNA is filed under the name uncultured bacterium. RNAcentral's name for it is "partial 16S ribosomal RNA". It matches the Rfam family "Bacterial small subunit ribosomal RNA", at positions 524 to 776 of the family's 1533-position model. The record is from RNAcentral.
UACAGAGGGUGCGAGCGUUGUUCGGAAUUAUUGGGCGUAAAGCGUAUAUAGGCUGUAAUGUAAGUUUGGUGUAAAAGUUUAGAGCUCAACUCUAAAAGGUCAUUGAAUACUGCAUUACUAGAGGUCGGGAGAGGUAAAUGGAAUUCCUAGUGGAUAGGUAGAAUUUGUUGAUAUUAGGAGGAACUCCAGAGACGAAAGUGGUUUACUAGAACGAAUCUGACGCUGUAAUACGAAAGCGUGGGGAGCAAACGGG